AAUCACUUCAACCUCGGAGGUGGAGGUUGCAGUGAGCCAAGAUCGUGCCACUGCACUCCAGCCAGGGCAACAGAAUGAGACUCCAUCUCCAAAAAAAAAAAGAAUGAAAAUCAGUGAAGUAAGGUUAUAAUCUUAAGAUACGAGAAAAGGAACAAGUGGUUUUUUUUUUUUUUCUAUCUGUUUUGUUGUUGUUGUUGUUGUUUGAGACAGAGUCUUGCCCAGGCUGGAGUGCGGCACAUGGCUCACUACCGCCUUGACCUGGGCUCAAGUGAUCCUCCCACUGCAGCCUCCCAUGUAGCUGGGACCACUGGCUCACACCACCAUGCGUAGCUAAUGUUUUCAUUUGUAGAGACAGGGUCUCACCAUGUUGUCCAGGCUGGCCUUGAACUCCUGGGUUCAAGCUAUCCUCCUGGUCAGCCCCACAAAGUGUUGGGAUUACAGGUGUGAGCCACCAUGCCUGGCCUACAUGAAACAUAUGCUUAUUUGGUUUUGAUUUUUACACUUUUAUGAUGCCAAGAUGAACCCCCAUUACCCUCCAAAAAGGAACAUCCUACUAGCUUCACAUUACAACUGGAAUAUUAACACAAUGUAAAUAGAGAAAACGGAGGUGGGGUGAUUAGGAGAUUUAAUAAGAAUAAAUCUUAAAGGGAAAUAGAAUGAAAUGUAUAAGGUAAAGGCAGAAGGUAAUAGAAAUAGUAUAAUUAGUAUAAUAGGAUCCAUAAAGUCAAACACAGAUUCAUUUUUUAAAAAAGAAUACAUUUCUGUCCAGAUUUAUUUUUUUAAAAAGCUGGGUGCAGUUGCUCACAUCUGUAAUCGCUGUGACUUGGGAGGGAAAUGGGAGGAUCGCCUAACUAAGCCCAGGAGUUGGAGGCUGCGUGAGCUAUGAUCAUGCCACUAUACUCCAUCCUGAGUGACAGAGCAAGACCCCAUAGCUGAAGAAAUAUAAACUAUUCAUGUUGUAAAAAUUAAGAUAUUUAUUUUUCAAGAAGCUAUUAUGAAUAAUUUCAUGGCAACAAAUUUCAAAAUUUCAUGGACAAAUUACUCAAAACUAUGUUAUCAAAAUAAUUUUAAAGGAAAAAUGGAAUAAUCAUUAAAGAAAUUUGAUUGAUAUUUUAAAAUCUUCCCAGAACACAAACACUAAACCCAGAGAGGUUUUCAGAAACGUUCUACUGAACAUUCAGGAAAAAAAUAAUUCCAAUUUUAUGUAAAUUAUUCCAGAACAUAGAAAAAGAGGAAGCAAUCCCCAAUUAAUCUCAAUCAUGAAGACAAAAUUUGAAAAAUCCAAAGCAAGAUAGUAAAGCAAAUUCAGCAAUAACUAGAAAUCAUUAUCAAGCUGAGUUUGUUCCAGAAUGUCAGGGUGGUUUAACAAUGGAGGAAAAAGAUCACAUCUGAAAAGAUGCAGGAAAAAAGGUUUGGUAAACCUUGGCAGCCAUUUGUAAUUUUUUUAAAAAUAAAUUUUGGAAAGCUUGGAGUAGAGAACUCUUUUAACUUAAUAAGUGAUAUUUACAAAAAGCCUACAGCACGUAUCUUAUUUUAUGCUGAAUUACUAAAUGAUUUCCUUUAAGAUUAUAAACAAGAGCGGGAUAAUCACUAUCAUGAUUUCAACAUUGUGCUGGGGGCCUAGUGUAUGCAGAAUAGCAGGAAAAAAAGUGAUUAGGAUUGGAAAUCCACCCUAUAGUAAUGCCAAGUAAAUCACAACCUCUCUUUGAGUGUGGAUGAGACCUGAGACUUGCUUCCAACGACAGAAUAUGGCUAAGGUGAUGGGGAUAGUCACUGCUUUGGUUCAUGUUAUAUGGCAAAAGUAAUGGAAUAAUUACUCUUGGGAUUAUGUGAUGUUACAGAAGAUCCUUGUUAGCGGCCCAGAGUGCACUAUCAUGUUGUAAGAAGGCCUGUGAAUGAGCCACCUGGCAAGAAACCUUGGGGACCACUAGGAGCUGAUGGAAACCCCCAGCUGACAGCCAGAACAAGACAGGGACUCCAUCCUACAGCCUCAGCUGAAUCCUGCCAACAACCAUCUGAACUUAGAAGAGGACACUAAGUUUUAAAAAGGACCACAGACUGGCUGUCACCUUGAUUACAGCCUUGUGAGACCCUGAGCAGGAGACCAACAGAAACUAUGAGAUAGAGACCUGUCUGUGAGUGGCUGGGAGACCUGUUUAAUUCUGGGGUAUAGAAUUAAGAUGGCCGUCUGCCUGUAAGUAGAAAUAAACUGCAUUCUCCCAAAUCAGCUUUGUUCAUAAUAAAAGUAAUAUUCUGGCCUCCUUA
Molecule: long non-coding RNA, 2265 nt
Organism: Macaca mulatta (Rhesus monkey)
Lineage: Eukaryota; Metazoa; Chordata; Mammalia; Primates; Cercopithecidae
Source: RefSeq, a predicted model, not a curated record